AACCACUCAUCGGGGCGCUUAACUGUGGUGUUUUAUUGCAUCGCAGUGGCUGAGACUAGGCAAAGGCCUAGGACCCGUAAACCUGAACCAGAUAAUGCUGGCGUAGGAAUUGAGUCGGGAUUAAUU
This 126-nucleotide non-coding RNA is filed under the name Vibrio vulnificus. Its description in RNAcentral is "TPP sequence". It matches the Rfam family "TPP riboswitch aptamer (THI element)". From Rfam's summary of the family: Vitamin B(1) in its active form thiamin pyrophosphate (TPP) is an essential coenzyme that is synthesised by coupling of pyrimidine and thiazole moieties in bacteria. Lineage: Bacteria; Pseudomonadati; Pseudomonadota; Gammaproteobacteria; Vibrionales; Vibrionaceae. The record is from RNAcentral.